CUUGUACUCCCUCCGUCCGAAAAUACUUGUCAUUGAAAUGGAUGUAUCUAAAUGUAUUUUAGUUCUAGACACAUCCAUUUUGAUGACAAGUAAUUCCGGACGGAGGGAGUACUUG
Non-coding RNA from Triticum aestivum (bread wheat), 115 nucleotides. The record is from Rfam. Lineage: Eukaryota; Viridiplantae; Streptophyta; Magnoliopsida; Poales; Poaceae.